UACGAAGGGGGCUAGCGUUGCUCGGAAUCACUGGGCGUAAAGCGCACGUAGGCGGGUUGUUAAGUCAGGGGUGAAAUCCUGGAGCUCAACUCCAGAACUGCCUUUGAUACUGGCAAUCUUCGAGUCCGGGAGAGGUGGGUGGAACUGCGAGUGUAGAGGUGAAAUUCGUAGAUAUUCGCAAGAACACCAGUGGCGAAGGCGGCUCACUGGCCCGGUACUGACGCUGAGGUGCGAAAGCGUGGGGAGCAAACAGG
This 254-nucleotide ribosomal RNA is filed under the name uncultured bacterium. RNAcentral's name for it is "partial 16S ribosomal RNA". It matches the Rfam family "Bacterial small subunit ribosomal RNA", at positions 524 to 776 of the family's 1533-position model. The record is from RNAcentral.